This 73-nucleotide transfer RNA is filed under the name Virgibacillus sediminis. RNAcentral's name for it is "tRNA-Thr". It matches the Rfam family "tRNA". From Rfam's summary of the family: Transfer RNA (tRNA) molecules are approximately 80 nucleotides in length. Their secondary structure includes four short double-helical elements and three loops (D, anti-codon, and T loops). Further hydrogen bonds mediate the characteristic L-shaped molecular structure. tRNAs have two regions of fundamental functional importance: the anti-codon, which is responsible for specific mRNA codon recognition, and the 3' end, to which the tRNAs corresponding amino acid is attached (by aminoacyl-tRNA synthetases). tRNAs cope with the degeneracy of the genetic code in two manners: having more than one tRNA (with a specific anti-codon) for a particular amino acid; and 'wobble' base-pairing, i.e. permitting non-standard base-pairing at the 3rd anti-codon position. The record is from RNAcentral. Lineage: Bacteria; Bacillati; Bacillota; Bacilli; Caryophanales; Bacillaceae. RNAcentral also lists the same sequence under 3 other names.
GCUUCCAUAGCUCAGCAGGUAGAGCACUUCCAUGGUAAGGAAGGGGUCAGCGGUUCGAGUCCGCUUGGAAGCU